UUGCAGUUUUAUCAAAAUCACACUGAGUAGUCCGAGGAUGUUAAAUCUGCCAACUCCCUCUCCCAGCUAUAUCUCCCCCCACAUAGGACAGAAGCACUGUACCCAUCUGUCUAUAUCUUAGCCUUCUUUAAAGCUGCAAACUCUAAACAUUUUUUCUUCUAAAACAACAAGAUAACUGUUCUUAAUUUUUUUUCAUUAAACUUUUUUCAGUUCACAGAACUUGAGAAAUCUCCAGACCACAAACUGAAACCACUGAUCAACACGUUUGUGGGCAAUAACUUCUUGUGCCAACAAAUUGCUUCCUUCAGACACAAACUUUAUGGUGCUUUUAACACUGAACUUGUUUGUUUGCCAAGAGAACUGUAGGAAAUGAAGAAAAAGAGAUAACGACUCACCUCUUUGUUUGAUAGAGCCACUAGAGCCUUGAAGUUUGCUUGAAAUUCUUCAACUGCACUUCCCAUUGAACCAGAACAUUCCAGAGGUGAGACUGGCUACAGAAUCAGGAUAUGAUCCAUGUGUCAUCUAAAAAGCAAUGUGGAAAGGUGUUG
Molecule: long non-coding RNA, 548 nt
Organism: Catharus ustulatus (Swainson's thrush)
Lineage: Eukaryota; Metazoa; Chordata; Aves; Passeriformes; Turdidae
Exons: 3
Source: RefSeq, a predicted model, not a curated record